Molecule: long non-coding RNA, 529 nt
Organism: Zea mays
Lineage: Eukaryota; Viridiplantae; Streptophyta; Magnoliopsida; Poales; Poaceae
Exons: 3
Source: RefSeq, a predicted model, not a curated record
GUUCCUACUCCAUCAAGUAUUAGCAUUUCGGGGCCAUGAUGAAUCAGAAACAUCUAUUAAUCGGGGGAAUUUUCUAGAGUUGAUAAAGCUUUUGGCGGAGCAAAAUGAAAAAAAUAUGAAGGUUGUGCUAAGAAAUGCUCCUGAAAACCAUAAAAUGGUGGCUCCAUCAAUUCAAAAGGACAUUGCUCAAUGCUUUGGAGAGAUCAUAGUUGAGUCUAUCAUCGAAGAGAUCGGGGGUGAUGUGUUUUGCUUGUUGGUUGAUGAAUUUGCUGAUGUUUCAGACAAGGAACAAAUGGUUGUGGUUUUGCGAUAUGUCGAUAAAUGUGGAGUGCUCAAAGAAAGACUAAUUGGUGUAGUUCAUGUCAAUGAGACAUCAUCUUUACGUCUCAAAACCAACGUUGAUCAAUUAUUUGCCAAGUACAAAUUGAGUUGGAAACAAGUGAGGGACAAGGUUAUGAUGGAGCAAGCAACAUGAGAGGUUGCUUUUAUAUCCUAAUUUUGAUGUUUGCUUGGAAGCCGGAGCUUUUGA